Molecule: long non-coding RNA, 2684 nt
Organism: Homo sapiens (human)
Lineage: Eukaryota; Metazoa; Chordata; Mammalia; Primates; Hominidae
Exons: 2
Source: RefSeq, a predicted model, not a curated record
GGUCUCUCUUUCUCAUCCAGGCUGGAGUGCAGUGCUGUGAUCUUGGCUCAUUGCAACCUCCAUCUCACUGGCCCAGGUGAUCCUCCCACCUCAGCCUUUGGAGUAGCAGGGACUACAGAUUUGAGUGAAAGCAACAAAGGGUCCCCAGCUGCACAGGUAUUCCUCCAAACCAUUCUUGUCUUUUUCUCCUUUUCCUCCUUCCUUCUCACAUGAAUGUUUGAAUGUAUUCACAUAUUAAUUCAUUGUUUUGCAUGGGACAGGCACUAUGCUAGAAGCAGGGAACCCAGCAGGAAACCACAAAUAUGAAUUCUGCCCUCAAGGAUUGUCAGUCUAGAUAAGAAGGCAAACAAUACCCCCCCACAAAAAAUGUACAAUAAUUAUACAUGAACUAGCAUUGUGAUAAGUACUAUAAAGCUGGCAAAUAAAAAGGAGGUGGUGGUUCUUCUAUGGGGAGGAGGCAAAAGAGACUAAAAAAAAAAACUUGAGGUCUCAGGCUUUUUCCAUCUUGGUAUGGUUAGGCUCUGUGUCCCCACCCAAAUCUCAUCUUGAAUUAUACUCCCAUAAUUCUACUGGGAGGGACCCAGUAGAAGAUAAUUUGAAUAGUGGGGGCGGUUUCACUCAUAUUGUUCUCAUGGUAGUGAGUAAGUCUCACAAGAUCUGAUGGUUUUAUCAGGGGUUUCCACUUUUACAUUUUCCUCAUUUUCUCUUGCCACCACCAUGUAAGAAGUGCAUUUUGCCUCCCUCCAUGAUUCUGAGACCUCCUCAGCCAUGUGGCACUGUAAGUCCAGUUAAACCUCUUUUUCUUCACAGUCUUGGGUAUAUCUUUAUUAGCAGUGUGAAAAUGGACUAAUACAGUAAAUUGGUACCAGUAGAGUGGGGCGCUGCUGAAAAGAUACCAAAAAAUGUUAAAUCAAUUUUGGAACUGGAUAACAGGCAGAGGUUGGAACAGUUUGGAGGGCUCAGAAGAAGACAAGAAAAUGUGGGAAAGUUUGGAACUUCCUAGAGACUUAUUGAAUGGCUUUGACAAAAAUGCUGAUAGUGAUAUGAACAAUAAGGUCCAGGCUGAGGUGGUCUCAGAUGGAGAUGAGGAACUUGUUGGGAACUGGAGCAAAGGUGACUCUUGCUUUGUUUUAGCAAAGAGAAUGGCAACAUUUUGCCCCUGCUCUAAAGAUCUGUGGAACUUUGAAGUUGAGAGAGAUUAUUUAGAGUAUCUGGUGGAAGAAAUUUCUAAGCAGCAAAGCAUUCAAGGAGUGAUUUGGGUGCUUUUAAAGCAUUCAGUUUUGAAAGGGAAACAGCAUAAAAGUUUGGAAAUUUUUCAUGCUGAUGAUGAGAUAGAAAAGAAAAAAACACUUUCUGAGGAGAAUUCUAGGAGGCUGCAUAUAUUUGAGGUGCCGAAUGUCCCUCCCCAAGGCAUGUCAGAGGUCUUCACAGCAGCCCCUCCUAUCCCAGGCCUGGAGGUUUCAGUGGAGAAAAUGUUUUUUGUGGGCUAGUCCGAGGGUCUCCGUGCUGUGUGCAGCCUAGGGACUUGGUGCCCUGUGUCCCAGCUGCUCCAGCCAUGGCUGAAAGGGGCCAAUGCAGAGCUUAGGCCAUGGCUUCAAAGGGUGCAAGCCCCAACCUUGGCAGCUUCCAUGUAGUGUUGAGCCUGUGAUUGUACAGAAGUCAAGAAUUGAAAUUUGGGGACCUCUGCCUAGAUUUCAGAACAUAUAUGGAAACGCCUGGAUGCCCAGGCAGAAGUCUGCUGCAGGAGCAGGGCGCUCAUGGAGAACCUCUGCUAGGGCAAUGUGGAAGGGAAAUGUGGGGUCAGAGCCCCAACACAGAGUCCCUACUGUGGCACCACCUAGUGGAGCUAUGACAAGAGGGCCACUGUUCUCCAGACCCCAGAAGGGUAGAUCCACCGACAGCUUGCACCUUGCACAUGGAAAACCACAGACACUCAAUGCCAGCCCGUGAAAGCAGCUGAGAGGAAUGCUGUAUCCAGAAAAGCCACAGGGACAGAGCUUCCCUAGACCAUAAGAACCUACCUCUUACAUCGGCAUGACCCAGAUGCGAGACAUGGCGUCAAAGGAGAUAAUUUUGGAACUUUAAGACUUGACUGCACUGCUGGAUUUUGGACUUGCAUGGGGCUGGUAGCUACUUUGUUUUGGCCAAUUUCUCCCAUUUGGAAUGACUGUAUUUACCCAAUAUCUGUACCACCAUUGCGUCUAGGAUGUUACUAACUUGCUUUUGAUUUUACAGGCUCAUAGGCGGAAGGAACUUGCCUCGUCUCAGAUAAGUCUGUGGACUUUUGAGUUAAUGCUGAAAUGAGUUAAGACUUUGGGGGACUGUUAGGAAGACACGAUUGGUUUUGAAAUGUGAGGACAUGAUAUUUGGAGGGGCCAGGGGCAGAAUCGUAUGAUUUGGCUCUGUGUCUCCACCCAGAUCUCAUCUUGAAUUGUACUCCCAUAAUUGCCAGGGACCCAAUGGGAGAUAACUUGAAUCAUACUGGCUGUUUCCCCCAUACUGUUCUCGUGGUAGUGAAUAAGUUUCACAAGAUCUGAUCAUUUUAUCAGGGGUUUCCACUUCCAGAUCUCCUCAUUUUCUCUUGCUGCCACCAUGUAAGAAGUGCCUUUUGCCUCCUGCUAUGAUUCUGAGGCCUCCCCAGCCAUGUGGAAUUGUAAGUCCAAUUAAACCUCUUUUUCUUCCCA